UGCUAUGGAUAACCUAGCGGUCAUAGUGCUAUCUCAUCAAAAGGAGCUGGAAUGGAGAUUCAGGGCGAAAAGGUUUUAAUUUAUUGAUAAUGCAUUGCAUUGAUGCAUAAUUUCCCACUUUGUUUUCUACUACUCAUUAGUGGUCAAUGACAUUUCAGUAUUCUCGUUUAAUAUCUACGCAGGAGAUUAUAUUCUCCUUCUCCAGUGCAUACCAUAACGAUCUAUGCAUUACUUUGCUAGUGGCAUAUUUUAGCAUCAACCUUAAUUAAUCACCCCUGGACGCUAAAAUGAUUUAGGGUUAAACUUCCGCUUCGCUCCAUUAGAUUCAAUCACUCACACCGAAGAGUGAGAGCUUGAGAAACAGAGAAAACACUCUCAAAGAAUAUACACGGCU
This 394-nucleotide small RNA is filed under the name Histoplasma capsulatum. RNAcentral describes it as "hypothetical RNA". RNAcentral also lists the same sequence under 1 other name. The record is from RNAcentral. Lineage: Eukaryota; Fungi; Ascomycota; Eurotiomycetes; Onygenales; Ajellomycetaceae.